GGAUGCAAUCAUACCAGCACUAAUGCACCGGAUCCCAUCAGAACUCCGAAGUUAAGCGUGCUUGGGCGAGAGUAGUACUAGGAUGGGUGACCCCUUUGGAAGUCCUCGUGUUGCAUCCC
Ribosomal RNA from Ipomoea nil (Japanese morning glory), 119 nucleotides. The record is from Rfam. Lineage: Eukaryota; Viridiplantae; Streptophyta; Magnoliopsida; Solanales; Convolvulaceae.